Small nuclear RNA from Pteronotus mesoamericanus, 105 nucleotides. Lineage: Eukaryota; Metazoa; Chordata; Mammalia; Chiroptera; Mormoopidae. The record is from RefSeq and is a predicted model, not a curated record.
GUGCUCACUUUGGCAGCACAUAUACUAAAAUUGGAACUGUAGAUAAGAUGAGCAUGGCCCCUGUGCAAGGAUGACAUGCAAAUUUGUGAACAAUUCCAUAUUUAA